CCUACGGGGCGCAGCAGUAGGGAAUAUUGCUCAAUGGGGGAAACCCUGAAGCAGCAACGCCGCGUGGAGGAUGAAGGUUUUCGGGUUGUAAACUUCUUUUAAGAGGGAAGAGUAGAAGACGGUACCUCUUGAAUAAGCCACGGCUAACUACGUGCCAGCAGCCGCGGUAAUACGUAGGUGGCAAGCGUUGUCCGGAUUUACUGGGUGUAAAGGGCGUGUAGCCGGGCCGGCAAGUCAGAUGUGAAAUCCCAAGGCUCAACCUUGGAACUGCAUUUGAAACUGUUGGUCUUGAGUAUCGGAGAGGC
Molecule: ribosomal RNA, 305 nt
Filed under: uncultured bacterium
Lineage: Bacteria
Description: bacterial SSU rRNA
Rfam family: Bacterial small subunit ribosomal RNA
Source: RNAcentral